GAUUUGUCUUUUUUUUUUUUUGGUGAUUUUGUGAUAUGGGUAUCUGGACUUUCUCGUGUUUUCAUUGAUUUGAUGGAGCGAAUACUUUAAAUUUAUGUAUUUUUAACUUUUGAACGACAUGGGUAAGUGGUAUAUAUCGUGAUUUGAGUUUUUGCGAGGUGGGCUGUGGUAUUAAGAUUAGGUAAUUGGUUAACUUCUUGAUUCUGAAGUCUAUAGUAGCUUGUUGCUAAUGUUUCAUAUGAUAGUAUCAUUUAUCUGCUUUGCUUUGACGUUGAUCUACUUUUUUAGGUCUUUGUUAUGUUAGCUUAUAAUGUUCAAUUCUCUUAUUCUCAACAGGUUCUGCACUUUGUGCACAGUACACUGCUUUGGUUCUGUAUUUACUUUGUCAUGGACAUAUUAUUUUUUCUAAGUAUUGGUGCUAUUGCUUUGCUUUAUUUGGUUUCUACCCAUUUAAGAUCUUCUUUGUGUGUGGUACUAGGGUUGAUUUUAUUGCCGUUCUUUUCUGGGAUACAGAUGAUGCAUUUGUUUUCAUAUGGGUCGAAAUAGAAAAAAAUUUUAUUUUUAUAUAUCUUUGCCAGUUUGAACAGAUCCAAUGGCUGAUGAACAAAUAGAUUAUGAGGACGAGGAGUAUGGGGGAGCUCAGAAAGUUCAAUAUCAGGGAAGUGGUGCCAUACCUGCACUUGCAGAGGAAGAGAUGGGGGAAGAUGAUGAAUAUGAUGAUCUCUACAAUGAUGUAAAUGUUGGAGAGAAUUUCCUACAGAUGCACCGAUCUGAGGUUCCACCACCACCUGCUAGUAUGGGCAAUGGAGGAUUCCAAUCUCGGAAUGUUGAUGAAUCAAGAGUUGAAAGUAGUGGUUCACAGGGACUGAACAAACCUGGGGUGGCAAUUGAAGAGAAGUAUUCUAAUGCCACAACACAUUUUCAUGAGCAGAGAGAAGUUCCCAUGGGUGUUAAGGGGCCAGAAAUGGGAUCUGUUGGCUACCCAGAUGGGUCUACUGUUGCACAAAAAGGGAGGGUUAUGGAGAUGACUCAUGAUUCUCAAGCACGAAAUAUGGGGUUUCAAGGAACAACAUCUGUGCCCUCCAACAUUGGGGUUGAUCCUUCUUCUGAUAUGAGUAGAAAAAUUGCCAAUGAGUCUUCACCUUUGCCAAAUACUGGCACCAGUGGUCCUCGAGGCAUUCAACAGUUGUCAACUAAUCAAAUUAGUGUGAAUAUGGAUGCCAAUCGUCCUGCAAUGAAUGAAAAUCAAAUCCGGCCACCAAUAGAGAAUGGUUCAACCAUGCUGUUUGUGGGAGAAUUACAUUGGUGGACAACUGAUGCAGAGCUUGAGAGUGUUUUAUCUCAAUAUGGAAGGGUCAAGGAGAUAAAGUUCUUUGAUGAAAGAGCUAGUGGCAAAUCUAAAGGCUACUGCCAAGUUGAAUUUUAUGAUGCAGCAGCUGCUGCUGCAUGCAAAGAGGGAAUGGAUGGGCAUGUUUUCAAUGGUCGUGCUUGUGUUGUGGCCUUUGCUUCUCCACAAACAUUAAAGCAGAUGGGGGCUUCUUACAUGAACAAAACUCAGAGUCAGCCUCAGUCGCAGAAUCAAGGAAGGAGGCCUAUGAAUGAUGGUGUGGGAAGAGGUGGUAAUAUGAAUUAUCAAGGUGGAGAUGCGGGGAGGAACUAUGGAAGGGGUGGGUGGGGACGAGGUGGGCAGGGAAUUCUCAAUAGAGGUCCUGGAGGUGGAGGCCCAAUGAGGGGCAGAGGAGGAGCCAUGGGUGCCAAGAACAUGGUUGGAGGUGCUGGUGGAUUAGGAAGUGGUGCCAAUGGUGGAGGCUAUGGACAAGGCCUUGCAGGUCCUGCUUUUGGUGGACCUGCUGGUGGUAUGAUGCCUCCACAGGGUAUGAUGGGAGCUGGAUUUGAUCCAACAUAUAUGGGUCGUGGGGCUGGAUAUGGAGGAUUUGCAGGUCCUGGUUUUCCUGGCAUGCUUCCUUCGUUUCCAGCUGUUAAUACAAUGGGACUUGCUGGGGUGGCUCCUCAUGUCAACCCAGCCUUCUUUGGCCGGGGAAUGACACCUAAUGGUAUGGGAAUGAUGGGUCCCACUGGAAUGGAUGGGCCUAAUGCUGGAAUGUGGUCUGACACAAGCAUGGGUGGAUGGGGAGAAGAGCCUGGCAGAAGAACAAGGGAGUCAAGUUAUGGUGGUGAUGAUGGGGCUUCUGAAUAUGGCUAUGGAGAGGUCAAUCAUGAAAAGGGAGCACGGUCAAGCGCUGUCUCUCGGGAAAAGGAGCGGGUUUCUGAGCGUGACUGGUCAGGGACCUCUGAUAGGAGGCAUCGUGAUGAGAGGGAACAUGAUUGGGACAGGUCUGAAAGAGAGCACAGGGAGCACAGGUACCGGGAAGAGAAAGAAAGUUACCGAGAACAUCGACAAAGAGAGCGUGACUCUGGUUAUGAGGAUGACUGGGAUAGAGGGCAAUCUUCUUCAAGAUCUAGAAGCAGGUCCCGUGCAGUGCCUGAAGAAGAUUACAGGUCUCGAUCAAGGGAUGCAGAUUAUGGCAAGAGGAGGCGCCUACCAUCAGAGUGAUACAACCAUUCUGUUCAUCUUUCUUGGAUAGGUUUACAAGGCCUCAACAUUUUAUAUCUGCACUUUUGGUCUGUCUCCCUUGGGCUGUUUGCGCUGGCUGCAUUAACCUGAAAUGCAGAUGGUGACUUCUUGAGGGAAGAAGUAAGUUCUACUCGUAUGGAUAAAAGAGAAGAAUAGAUACUGUGUUGUUUUCCUACUGCAUUCUAAGGAACAUCAUUAGAUGAAACUCAAUGUUUGUGUGCUUGAAAACUUCAGUAACUCUUAGUCGUAUACCAAUGUGGAUAUUCUUUGUGGGGUUUGACUUGCAUAUCCUGCAUUUGAGCAUCCCAUUGGAUAUAUAGUUACUCUGAAUGCUAAGUGCUUGUGACCUUGAAAUACUUGAGACCGUCUUUUAUAUAAUUGUCCUAGAUGAUGGCUAGUAUACUAUUACAUUUUUCCUUUAAUUUUUCCAUUGCGUAUGUGAAAGCUUCAAUCUUUGAUAGAUGCUAUAGUAGUUAUAGAGCUAAUUUAUGUGCUGUAUUUGACUUCAUAAUAUUUAACUUUAUAUGGUAGAAUAAUGUUCAACUGGGUCUUUUUUUUCACAUCUGGUUUCUCUGAACUCAUAUGGUUUGCAGGGCAUCUUUUGUUCUCUCCUACUGUUAUUCAUGUGAAUUGAGGAUGGAAUGCACAUUAAUCUAAGAAGCUUUACCCAGUUGGCUUUGUUUCCAUGUGAUUCAUUCUGUUAAUUAUUCUUUCCCUUAAUUUGUUUUUAUGGUUUUUCUUUGAAUAGUUAAAGUAUGGUUUUUUCGAGACAUUUGUUAUGAGAAAAUUUCUUGGCAUGUUUGGUGGCUAUGUUUAGCUGAUGUUUUAAAAUGACUGCUUUAUUAAAUUUAGAAAUUAGAACCUUUGGUGGUUCUAACCUUUUUGUGUUGGGAAUCAUUCAGGUAAUAGGUUAUUGUAUAGUUAUGAUUAAUGUAAAAUGAAAACCUCUGGUGUUGUUUGUGGUGGUGGAGUCACUAUUGGUGGUUAUGAUGUUGACCUUUGGAAUAGUAAAAAAUGUGGGAUGUAUUGUUUUUUGGGGAGAAGCAUGGGCAUUUCUGUCGCCUUAGGUGAUGCUUUGAUGGAAUUUUUUGGUCUGGUUAUGCACUUAUGCUGAAGGUAAAUAUGAAAAACUCUAGUUUUGUUCAGGUAGUGGAAUCAUCAUGGUGGUUGUGACUGGUUGUUGGAAUAGUCAAAUGGAGGUUUUGUUUGUUUAAUUUGAAUUUACAAGGUGUACUGAUCUACUAGGUCAUUUGUUACUAAUUAAAAGUUACAUAGCUUAUAUUUAUACUUUCCUAUUAGGUUCAAUUUAGUGGUAGUCAUACUUGCCACUCCCUGCACAUACUCAUGCUUCUAUGGAAGUAAAUUAUUUAUUUAUAUUUUUAGAGGAAGGAGUGGGGGUCUUUCUUUUAGGGUUCUUUCUCUUAGGAUGUUAUGGACUAAUAAUUGCUUAAUUCAAAGGUGACUAAUAACUUUUCCCUUUUCUGGUCGAUAAUUGUUUGUCUCUUUUGGUUAUUUGUGGGCUAUCAAUUGAGGUCAUGUGUUUGAAAUCCUUUUUUUGAAGGGACAGGUGCAAACAUUCUGUCCCACUUUUUUUCCUUACCUCCAUUGUAAUCUCUGUCUUUCUCUUACUUUUAUACAUGGUUUUUCCAGUUUCCUUAUGCUCAUGCAUUGCUUGCAGUUUUGAAAUAUAACACAGGUUGAAUCAUAAAAGAGGGUCUACAUAUAAAACUCUUAACCUAAUCUCCAAGUGUAUUACUUAACAUUUUUCCAGUGGUUCUGCUACACUGAUAUUCCAGCGGCUUCUUAGAGGAUCUGCACCUAUUCUCAUUUAAUCUACUUUCAGAUUUUAGAAAAUAUUGUAGUUUUGAACUACUUGAUCUACAACUAUGAGAAUUAUGUAGGUCUGAAUGAAUUAUUACAUGUGAGUCUUGUAGAAGUCUAAUGCCCGUGGGAUUGUAAGAUUAAAAAUAAUGGACUAGGGAGUUUUAUUGGCCAUCAGAGUAUGUUUUAAUGCAUGCUCAUUCUAAUGCAUUGAGUGAUUUAGAUAGCUUGUGGGGGUGGUGUGUUUGACAAAUCUAUUUUUUGAAUGUCUAUUGACAUGGGGGUUUUCUUUUAUAUCAAUCCAGGGGGUGGAGUGGUCAACUCUUUGUUUUCAUGAUUGAAUCAUAUCUGUGUUAGUUGCCUGGAGGAAGAUGUGUUAGAUGAGCUGCCUUCACUGGAUUUCUUCCAUAAUGGUUUUGAUCUGCCAAGUUUGCAAAAGAAGCCUUGAUUAUUUUGGCUUUCACCCUUUUUUCCACAAGUACCACUUAAGAAUCUGUAAAUAACAUUCCUGCAAGAAUAUGUCUUGAAAGACUUGUAUUCAUGGAGCUGUAAAAUAAUGAAGAGAUGUAUUAGGUCCUUCAGUUUUUUUAUUUCAUGUAAAUGGAUACAUGUAUUAGGUCCUUUAGUUUCUUCUUGUUCUACAUCAGGUCAACAUCAUGUAAUGGUCUCCUUCAUUAUUUAUUUUGAUCAUUGAUCUUUUUUCUGUUUCAUCACUGAGCUUGUAAAAGUCUUGUACCAAUUGUGGGGACCAUAUUUGUACAUAUUUGAUGUUUUGUAAUUCCUCUUGUUAUGUCUCUGUGUUAGUUAGAAGGGUCAGAGAUGGGUUAAUAAUGCUUUGUAAUGAUGGGUGGAUAUCCCUACUCUAUUUUGGUCACUGUAAUACAUAUAAAACCCAAGUUUUAAGGACAUUCUUCCUGAAAAGUUGAAGGAUUUGAGAAGUUUCAUCAUUACAAUGUAAAUUUGGGGUCUACCUCACUAUUAGGAGCUAUGAGUAAAUGCUACAAUGUUGCAGAUGCGCGGGAACCAAAAAGAGUGUUGACUGUUUUGGGCUUGUUUAUCCCUCUCUGGAGGCCUGAUGCAAUGCUUUUUAUGUAUUCUUUUUUUUUCCCCCCUUUUGGGGGUCUAGUUUAGGGUUCCUCAUUUACUGUUGUUCUUGGUGAGAUUUUGUUGUAUAAAUCAUGUUUUCUGGUUUGUACAGUAGGAUGUAGAUUUUAUUUUACACUGUACUUUAGAUUUUAGUCUUCAGCCUUCUUGUAUUUAUGUACGAGGAGCGGCAACAUCCUUCUUAAAGGUGCAUUCCAGUGUUCUGAUAGGUGCUACUUGAUGACAAAAACUGACACUUGUAUUUACUUUUUUAUUUAGAUUCAGUAUGUACUCAUGCUAUCUUUUCAUUAUUUUUCUGGAAUAGCUCAUAGUUUUGCUUUGAAGUUUACAUGUUGUUGAUAUAGAAACCUCCAAGUGAAAUCAUUUGAUAUUGAAUCCCUUGACUUUUUUUUGCUUGCUGUUGUUUACAUCAAUUUUACUGACUGGCAAAAUUCAUCAAAAACUGGCAUCAUUGACCACAUUAUUUGAGGGAUGACAUGGUAGAUGGAUUUUUUUUU
This 5997-nucleotide unclassified non-coding RNA is filed under the name Hevea brasiliensis (rubber tree). Lineage: Eukaryota; Viridiplantae; Streptophyta; Magnoliopsida; Malpighiales; Euphorbiaceae. The record is from RNAcentral.